UGUGCCAGCAGCCGCGGUAAUACGUAGGUGGCAAGCGUUAUCCGGAAUUAUUGGGCGUAAAGCGCGCGUAGGCGGUUUUUUAAGUCUGAUGUGAAAGCCCACGGCUCAACCGUGGAGGGUCAUUGGAAACUGGAAAACUUGAGUGCAGAAGAGGAAAGUGGAAUUCCAUGUGUAGCGGUGAAAUGCGCAGAGAUAUGGAGGAACACCAGUGGCGAAGGCGACUUUCUGGUCUGUAACUGACGCUGAUGUGCGAAAGCGUGGGGAUCAAACAGGAUUAGAUACCCUGGUAGUCCACGCCGUAAACGAUGAGUGCUAAGUGUUAGGGGGUUUCCGCCCCUUAGUGCUGCAGCUAACGCAUAAGCACUCCG
Molecule: ribosomal RNA, 368 nt
Filed under: uncultured bacterium
Lineage: Bacteria
Description: bacterial SSU rRNA
Rfam family: Bacterial small subunit ribosomal RNA
Source: RNAcentral